RNAcentral lists this ribosomal RNA (404 nucleotides) under uncultured soil bacterium. Its description in RNAcentral is "bacterial SSU rRNA". It matches the Rfam family "Bacterial small subunit ribosomal RNA", at positions 26 to 436 of the family's 1533-position model. The record is from RNAcentral.
AGAUUGAACGCUGGCGGCAUGCCUUACACAUGCAAGUCGAACGGCAGCACGGGAGCAAUCCUGGUGGCGAGUGGCGAACGGGUGAGUAAUACAUCGGAACGUGCCCAGUUGUGGGGGAUAGCCCGGCGAAAGCCGGAUUAAUACCGCAUACGACCUACGGGUGAAAGCGGGGGAUCGCAAGACCUCGCGCUAUUGGAGCGGCCGAUGUCGGAUUAGCUUGUUGGUGGGGUAAAAGCCUACCAAGGCUACGAUCCGUAGCUGGUCUGAGAGGACGACCAGCCACACUGGGACUGAGACACGGCCCAGACUCCUACGGGAGGCAGCAGUGGGGAAUUUUGGACAAUGGGCGCAAGCCUGAUCCAGCCAUGCGCGUGAGUGAAGAAGGCCUGGGUGUAAAGCUCUUU